AGUGAACGCUGGCGGUAGGCCUAACACAUGCAAGUCGAACGGCAGCACAGUAAGAGCUUGCUCUUACGGGUGGCGAGUGGCGGACGGGUGAGGAAUACAUCGGAAUCUACUUUUUCGUGGGGGAUAACGUAGGGAAACUUACGCUAAUACCGCAUACGACCUACGGGGGAAAGCAGGGGAUCUUCGGACCUUGCGCGAUUGAAUGAGCCGAUGUCGGAUUAGCUAGUUGGCGGGGUAAAGGCCCACCAAGGCGACGAUCCGUAGCUGGUCUGAGAGGAUGAUCAGCCACACUGGAACUGAGACACGGUCCAGACUCCUACGGGAGGCCGCAGUGGGGAAUAUUGGACAAUGGGCGCAAGCCUGAUCCAGCCAUACCGCGUGGGUGAAGAAGGCCUUCGGGUUGUAAAGCCCUUUUGUUGGGAAAGAAAAGCAGCAGGUUAAUACCCCGCUGUUCUGACGGUACCCAAAGAAUAAGCACCGGCUAACUUCGUG
This 492-nucleotide ribosomal RNA is filed under the name uncultured bacterium. RNAcentral describes it as "partial 16S ribosomal RNA". It matches the Rfam family "Bacterial small subunit ribosomal RNA", at positions 29 to 507 of the family's 1533-position model. The record is from RNAcentral.